GACGAACGCUGGCGGCGUGCCUAAUACAUGCAAGUCGAGCGGACCGAACAGGAGCUUGCUCUUGUUCGGUUAGCGGCGGACGGGUGAGUAACACGUGGGUAACCUGCCCGUAAGACCGGGAUAACUCCGGGAAACCGGAGCUAAUACCGGAUAACACCGAAGACCGCAUGGUCUUUGGUUGAAAGGCGGCUUCGGCUGCCACUUACGGAUGGGCCCGCGGCGCAUUAGCUAGUUGGUGAGGUAACGGCUCACCAAGGCGACGAUGCGUAGCCGGCCUGAGAGGGUGACCGGCCACACUGGGACUGAGACACGGCCCAGACUCCUACGGGAGGCAGCAGUAGGGAAUCUUCCGCAAUGGACGAAAGUCUGACGGAGCGACGCCGCGUGAGCGAAGAAGGUCUUCGGAUCGUAAAGCUCUGUUGUUAGGGAAGAAGAAGCGUCGUUCGAACAGGGCGGCGCGGUGACGGUACCUAACGAGAAAGCCCCGGCUAACUACGU
Molecule: ribosomal RNA, 498 nt
Filed under: uncultured bacterium
Lineage: Bacteria
Description: partial 16S ribosomal RNA
Rfam family: Bacterial small subunit ribosomal RNA
Source: RNAcentral